AAGUCAUAACAAGGUUUCCGUAGGUGAACCUGCGGAAGGAUCAUUAAAAAAUGAGGUAUUUUAUACCUCUUGUAUUUAAAACCCAUCUCUUUAAAAUAUAAUUUUUUUUUUAAAAAAAAAACUUUCAACAAUGGAUCUCUUGGCUCUCA
RNAcentral lists this unclassified non-coding RNA (149 nucleotides) under fungal sp. Its description in RNAcentral is "partial internal transcribed spacer region". The stretch from base 1 to 46 matches the Rfam family "Eukaryotic small subunit ribosomal RNA", at positions 1786 to 1831 of the family's 1831-position model. The record is from RNAcentral. Lineage: Eukaryota; Fungi.